RNAcentral lists this ribosomal RNA (104 nucleotides) under Danio rerio (zebrafish). The record is from RNAcentral. Lineage: Eukaryota; Metazoa; Chordata; Actinopteri; Cypriniformes; Danionidae.
AGCUACAGCCAUAUCACCCUGCAGCUCAAGACCGGUUAAGCAGGGCUGAGCCUGGUCAGUAGCUGGAUGGAAGACCACAUGGGAAAACUAGGUAGCUGUUGGAA